Molecule: long non-coding RNA, 331 nt
Organism: Pseudopipra pipra
Lineage: Eukaryota; Metazoa; Chordata; Aves; Passeriformes; Pipridae
Exons: 2
Source: RefSeq, a predicted model, not a curated record
CUUUAAAAACCUGUUGGCCAAACACAGAAUCUACUUCACAACUCCUGAUGUGACAGCUGUGGUGAGAAGUGUCCUCCAUGAGAAAACUACCCUUCAGGUCCAACUUUAAAAAUGAGGUACCAUUUGAUUAGUUUUCCUUACAGAUAAGUCAGUGUCCCCCAGUCGAGUCCUCCUCUCCUCCUCAAUGACCGACUCCAAGACCUUGUAGUAGAGCAUCUCAGCACGACGGAAAUGUUUACUGGCAACAUCUGCAGGAAGUUUAAAGAGAAGCAAUAUUGUGAAAUAAAAUAAAAAAGUAUUACAUUCUUCAUCUUCAGAUACAGAGACACAA